UAGGGAAUCUUGGACAAUGGGGGAAAACCCUGAUCCAGCCAUGCCGCGUGAGUGAAGAAGGCCUUAGGGUCGUAAAACUCUUUCGCCAGGGAAGAUAAUGACGGUACCUGGUAAAGAAACCCCGGCUAACUCUGUGCCAGCAGCCGCGGUAAUACGGAGGGGGUUAGCGUUGUUCGGAAUUACUGGGCGUAAAGCGCACGUAGGCGGGCUGAAAAGUUGGGGUGAAAUCCCGGGGCUCAACCCCGGAACUGCCUUCAAAACUGACAGCCUAGAGUUCGAGAGAGGUGAGUGGAAUUCCGAGUGUAGAGGUGAAAUUCGUAGAUAUUCGGAGGAACACCAGUGGCGAAGGCGGCUCACUGGCUCGAUACUGACGCUGAGGUGCG
This 383-nucleotide ribosomal RNA is filed under the name uncultured bacterium. RNAcentral's name for it is "bacterial SSU rRNA". It matches the Rfam family "Bacterial small subunit ribosomal RNA", at positions 355 to 755 of the family's 1533-position model. The record is from RNAcentral.